RNAcentral lists this non-coding RNA (157 nucleotides) under Alphaproteobacteria bacterium. RNAcentral's name for it is "6S RNA". It matches the Rfam family "6S / SsrS RNA". From Rfam's summary of the family: E. coli 6S RNA was the first non coding RNA to be sequenced, but its function was unknown until recently. It consists of 184 nucleotides that fold into an extended hairpin structure with a large single-stranded internal bulge. The 6S RNA specifically associates with RNA polymerase holoenzyme containing the sigma70 specificity factor. Lineage: Bacteria; Pseudomonadati; Pseudomonadota; Alphaproteobacteria. The record is from RNAcentral.
GCGGAGCUGCGAGGCGCGUCAGGAGCCAUAUCCCCGGGGCCUUAUCGAUCCUGAAGGGAGCUGUCCCUGACCGGGCCCGUGGGCUCGGACAUAUGGCGCCCACCUACUCUCGUAGGGAACCCGGGAUCGCCGCUCCAACGGCCGUUGCGGCUCCGCG